RNAcentral lists this ribosomal RNA (1490 nucleotides) under uncultured bacterium. Its description in RNAcentral is "bacterial SSU rRNA". It matches the Rfam family "Bacterial small subunit ribosomal RNA". The record is from RNAcentral.
AGAGUUUGAUCCUGGCUCAGGAUGAACGCUAGCGGCAGGCCUAAUACAUGCAAGUCGAACGGGAUUUAUGAGAGCAGCAAUACUUUUAUAAUGAGAGUGGCGCACGGGUGCGUAACGCGUAUGCAACCUACCUGUAACAGGGGGAUAGCCCCUCGAAAGAGGGAUUAAUACCGCAUAGUAUAAUUUGGUGGCAUCAUUAAAUUAUUAAACUAUUAGGGUUACAGAUGGGCAUGCGUGACAUUAGCUAGUUGGUAAGGUAACGGCUUACCAAGGCAACGAUGUCUAGGGGAUCUGAGAGGAUUGCCCCCCACACUGGUACUGAGACACGGACCAGACUCCUACGGGAGGCAGCAGUAAGGAAUAUUGGUCAAUGGGCGGAAGCCUGAACCAGCCAUGCCGCGUGCAGGAAGAAAGCUCUAUGGGUUGUAAACUGCUUUUGCAAUGGAAUAAACCUGGUUACGUGUAAUCAGCUGAAUGUACAUUGCGAAUAAGGAUCGGCUAACUCCGUGCCAGCAGCCGCGGUAAUACGGAGGAUCCAAGCGUUAUCCGGAUUUAUUGGGUUUAAAGGGUGCGUAGGCGGCUAUAUAAGUCAGAGGUGAAAGACGACAGCUCAACUGUCGCAGUGCCUUUGAUACUGUAUAGCUUGAAUACAGAUGAAGUAGGCGGAAUGUGGCAAGUAGCGGUGAAAUGCAUAGAUAUGCCACAGAACACCAAUUGCGAAGGCAGCUUACUAAACUGAUAUUGACGCUGAGGCACGAAAGCGUGGGGAUCAAACAGGAUUAGAUACCCUGGUAGUCCACGCCCUAAACGAUGAUAACUCGAUGUUAGCGAUACACAGUUAGCGUCCAAGCGAAAGCGUUAAGUUAUCCACCUGGGGAGUACGCCGGCAACGGUGAAACUCAAAGGAAUUGACGGGGGCCCGCACAAGCGGAGGAGCAUGUGGUUUAAUUCGAUGAUACGCGAGGAACCUUACCCGGGCUUGAAAGUUAGUGAAUGAUACAGAGAUGUGUCAGUGAGCAAUCACACGAAACUAGGUGCUGCAUGGCUGUCGUCAGCUCGUGCCGUGAGGUGUUGGGUUAAGUCCCGCAACGAGCGCAACCCCUAUGUUUAGUUGCCAGCACGUUAAGGUGGGGACUCUAAACAGACUGCCUGUGCAAACAGCGAGGAAGGUGGGGACGACGUCAAGUCAUCAUGGCCCUUACGUCCGGGGCUACACACGUGCUACAAUGGGCAGUACAGAGGGCAGCAAGCUGGUAACAGUAAGCCAAUCUCAUAAAGCUGUUCACAGUUCGGAUUGAGGUCUGCAACUCGACCUCAUGAAGUUGGAUUCGCUAGUAAUCGCGUAUCAGCAAUGACGCGGUGAAUACGUUCCCGGGCCUUGUACACACCGCCCGUCAAGCCAUGGAAGCUGGGGGUACCUAAAGUCGAUAACCGCAAGGAAUUGCCUAGGGUAAAACUAGUGACUGGGGCUAAGUCGUAACAAGGUAACC